AUUGAACGCUGGCGGCAGGCCUAACACAUGCAAGUCGAACGGUAACGGGAAGCAGCUUGCUGCUUUGCUGACGAGUGGCGGACGGGUGAGUAAUGUCUGGGAAACUGCCUGAUGGAGGGGGAUAACUACUGGAAACGGUAGCUAAUACCGCAUAACGUCGCAAGACCAAAGAGGGGGACCUUCGGGCCUCUUGCCAUCGGAUGUGCCCAGAUGGGAUUAGCUUGUUGGUGGGGUAACGGCUCACCAAGGCGACGAUCCCUAGCUGGUCUGAGAGGAUGACCAGCCACACUGGAACUGAGACACGGUCCAGACUCCUACGGGAGGCAGCAGUGGGGAAUAUUGCACAAUGGGCGCAAGCCUGAUGCAGCCAUGCCGCGUGUAUGAAGAAGGCCUUCGGGUUGUAAAGUACUUUCAGCGGGGAGGAAGGGAGUAAAGUUAAUACCUUUACUCAUUGACGUUACCCGCAGAAGAAGCACCGGCUAACUCCGUG
RNAcentral lists this ribosomal RNA (490 nucleotides) under uncultured bacterium. RNAcentral describes it as "partial 16S ribosomal RNA". It matches the Rfam family "Bacterial small subunit ribosomal RNA", at positions 30 to 507 of the family's 1533-position model. The record is from RNAcentral.